Molecule: ribosomal RNA, 506 nt
Filed under: uncultured bacterium
Lineage: Bacteria
Description: partial 16S ribosomal RNA
Rfam family: Bacterial small subunit ribosomal RNA
Source: RNAcentral
AGUGAACGCUGGCGGUAGGCCUAACACAUGCAAGUCGAACGGCAGCACAGGAGAGCUUGCUCUCUGGGUGGCGAGUGGCGGACGGGUGAGGAAUACAUCGGAAUCUACUCUGUCGUGAGGGAUAACGUAGGGAAACUUACGCUAAUACCGCAUACGACCUACGGGUGAAAGCAGGGGACCUUCGGGCCUUGCGCGAUUGAAUGAGCCGAUGUCGGAUUAGCUAGUUGGCGGGGUAAAGGCCCACCAAGGCGACGAUCCGUAGCUGGUCUGGGAGGAUGCUCAGCCACACUGGAACUGAGACACGGUCCAGACUCCUACGGGAGGCAGCAGUGGGGAAUAUUGGACAAUGGGCGCAAGCCUGAUCCAGCCAUACCGCGUGGGUGAAGAAGGCCUUCGGGUUGUAAAGCCCUUUUGUUGGGAAAGAAAUCCAGCUGGCUAAUACCCGGUUGGGAUGACGGUACCCAAAGAAUAAGCACCGGCUAACCUCGUGCCAGCCGCCGCGGUAA